UACGGGGGGAGCAAGCGUUGUUCGGAUUUACUGGGCGUAAAGGGCGCGUAGGCGGCCUCUGCAAGUCGACUGUGAAAUCUCCGGGCUUAACCCGGAACGGUCAGCCGAUACUGCAGGGCUAGAGUGCAGAAGGGGCAACUGGAAUUCUCGGUGUAGCGGUGAAAUGCGUAGACAUCGAGAGGGACACCUGCGGCGAAGGCGGGUUGCUGGGCUGACACUGACGCUGAGGCGCGAAAGCUAGGGGAGCGAACGGG
RNAcentral lists this ribosomal RNA (254 nucleotides) under uncultured bacterium. RNAcentral describes it as "partial 16S ribosomal RNA". It matches the Rfam family "Bacterial small subunit ribosomal RNA", at positions 524 to 776 of the family's 1533-position model. The record is from RNAcentral.